GUUAAUCCUGCGCAUUUCCGCCA
RNAcentral lists this non-coding RNA (23 nucleotides) under Arabidopsis thaliana (thale cress). Lineage: Eukaryota; Viridiplantae; Streptophyta; Magnoliopsida; Brassicales; Brassicaceae. The record is from RNAcentral.